GAUGAACGCUGGCGGCGUGCUUAACACAUGCAAGUCGAACGAGAAAUGGAGACGGAAACCUUCGGGCGGAAGGCUUCAUUUCGAGUGGCGGACGGGUGAGUAACGCGUGGGUAACCUGCCUCAUACAGGGGGAUAACAGUUUGAAACGACUGUUAAUACCGCAUAAGACCACAGCACCGCAUGGUGCGGGGGUAAAAACUCCGGUGGUAUGAGAUGGACCCGCGUUCGAUUAGCCAGUUGGCGGGGUAACGGCCCACCAAAGCGACGAUCGAUAGCCGAUCUGAGAGGAUGACCGGCCACAUUGGGACUGAGACACGGCCCAAACUCCUACGGGAGGCAGCAGUGGGGAAUAUUGCACAAUGGGGGAAACCCUGAUGCAGCGACGCCGCGUGAGUGAAGAAGUACUUCGGUAUGUAAAGCUCUAUCAGCAGGGAAGAAAAUGACGGUACCUGAGUAAGAAGCCCCGGCUAACUACGUG
RNAcentral lists this ribosomal RNA (478 nucleotides) under uncultured bacterium. RNAcentral describes it as "partial 16S ribosomal RNA". It matches the Rfam family "Bacterial small subunit ribosomal RNA", at positions 28 to 507 of the family's 1533-position model. The record is from RNAcentral.